UACGUAGGGGGCAAGCGUUGUCCGGAUUUAUGGGGCGUAAAGAGCGUGUAGGCGGCCAGAUAGGUCAGCUGUGAAAACUCGAGGCUCAACCUCGAGACGCCGGUUGAAACCAUCUGGCUAGAGUCCGGAAGAGGAGAGUGGAAUUCCUGGUGUAGCGGUGAAAUGCGCAGAUAUCAGGAAGAACACCCGUGGCUAAGGCGGCUCUCUAGUACGGUACUGACGCUGAGACGCGAAAGCGUGGGGAGCGAACAGG
RNAcentral lists this ribosomal RNA (253 nucleotides) under uncultured bacterium. RNAcentral's name for it is "partial 16S ribosomal RNA". It matches the Rfam family "Bacterial small subunit ribosomal RNA", at positions 524 to 776 of the family's 1533-position model. The record is from RNAcentral.